CCAAGGGUUUGGCUGUUCGCCAAUUAAAGCGGUACGUGAGCUGGGUUCAAACCGUCGUGAGACAGGUUGGUCUCCUAUCUGUUGCAGGCGCUGAAACUUGAGGGGAGUUCUCUCUAGUACGAGAGGACCGAGAGGAACAAACCGCUGGUGUGCCAGCUGUCCUGCCAAGGGCAACGCUGGGUAGCUAUGUUUGGAUGUGAUAAGAGCUGAAAGCAUCUAAGCUCGAAACACGCCCCAAGAUUAGGUUUCGCUGGGAAUAAAUCCCUGAAGGUCCGUGAGAGAUUAUCACGUUGAUAGGUCGCAGCUGUAAGCGCCGCAAGGCGUUCAGGCGAGCGAUACUAAUUAACCGAUC
RNAcentral lists this ribosomal RNA (352 nucleotides) under Candidatus Azambacteria bacterium RIFCSPHIGHO2_02_FULL_52_12. RNAcentral describes it as "bacterial LSU rRNA". It matches the Rfam family "Bacterial large subunit ribosomal RNA", at positions 2565 to 2913 of the family's 2925-position model. The record is from RNAcentral. Lineage: Bacteria; Candidatus Azamiibacteriota.